GUCAAGUCAUCAUGCCCCUUAUGCCCAGGGCUGCAAACACGCUACAAUGGGCGGUACAAAGGGCUGCGAUCCCGCGAGGGUGAGCGAAUCCCACAAAGCCGGUCUCAGUUCGGAUUGGAGUCUGCAACUCGACUCCAUGAAGUCGGAGUCGCUAGUAAUCGCGGAUCAGCAAAGCCGCGGUGAAUGCGUUCUCGGGGAUU
This 200-nucleotide ribosomal RNA is filed under the name uncultured organism. Its description in RNAcentral is "partial small subunit ribosomal RNA". It matches the Rfam family "Bacterial small subunit ribosomal RNA", at positions 1184 to 1378 of the family's 1533-position model. The record is from RNAcentral.